RNAcentral lists this ribosomal RNA (468 nucleotides) under uncultured bacterium. RNAcentral's name for it is "partial 16S ribosomal RNA". It matches the Rfam family "Bacterial small subunit ribosomal RNA", at positions 28 to 507 of the family's 1533-position model. The record is from RNAcentral.
GACGAACGCUGGCGGCGUGCUUAACACAUGCAAGUCGAACGGAAGGGCCCUGCUUUUGUGGGGUGCUCGAGUGGCGAACGGGUGAGUAACACGUGAGUAACCUGCCCUUGACUUUGGGAUAACUUCAGGAAACUGGGGCUAAUACCGGAUAGGAGCUCCUGCUGCAUGGUGGGGGUUGGAAAGUUUCGGCGGUUGGGGAUGGACUCGCGGCUUAUCAGCUUGUUGGUGGGGUAGUGGCUUACCAAGGCUUUGACGGGUAGGCGGCCUGGGAGGGUGACCGGCCACAUUGGGACUGAGGGACGGACCAGUCGCGUACGGGAGGCAGCAGUGGGGAAUAUGGCACAAUGGGCGCAAGCGUGAUGCAGAGACGCCGCGUGCGGGAUGACGGCCUGCGGGGUGUAAACCGCUUUAGCUUGAGACGAAGCGGGAGUGACGGUAAUGGGUGAAGAAGCACCGGCUAACUACGUG